AACCUCUCCUCUAUAAAAACACCACUUUCUUCUGACUGUAUUCACUGCAGCAACGCCUUCACUCCCAACACUCAGAAGAAAACAAGUGAGCAGCAUCCAUCCGACAUCUUUCUCCAACAAAGAAGAUGGCUGGCCUAUGCUGGAUGGCAGUGAUGCUGGUAUUCUUCCUGUCUGCUGAAAACGGUUUGGCUGUUGUGGACCAGAACACGCUUGCAACGAUUGUAAAUGACAUCUUAAGAGAGUACAACCCAGGAGGCAUGUUCAGUCUGGCUGUAAGGAUCCCAUAUGACCAGAACCAGAACAUUAACACUGCCCUUCAACAAGUCUUUACAAGUGAUCCUGGUAACAACGUGGUGAAUACGAUCAACAACAACAACCAGGACGUGUACAACAGAGGACGGGUGGUUGCAGCCAAAGUUCGGAGACGGCCCAAUGGAGGAGCUGAUCAUGCAGAGUCGCGCGUUGUGAACCACUUGAAAGACUUGUUCAACAGGGGUAAUGUGAAUGAUCACGAUUUGUUGCUUUUCUAUGUUUAUUCCUCCCCAUGUAUUGACAAAUGUUCAAGCGACCGACAUCAUGAGAGCAUCAUCGGAAGGAUAAAAAACAUUAAGAAAUGGACCAAUUAUGCUCUGGUGUUUUCUAAAAUAUUCAAACCCAACAAUGAUCAUACCUAUACAAAGGAACAACUGAUGGACGGCCUUAAGCGUAUUGGGAAUGCAAUCGGUCUUAACAACAUAUUCCGUUGUGACAGGCGGUUUGGUCAGAUGAAGUGUACCAGCUGCGCCGAUGGUCAACGGGUUGCAGAUUAUUGUGUUUCUGAUCCAUAGCCAGCCUCCACUUCAGGUUAAGGGCAGCAGACUCAGUCAAAGCGGCAGUCUGUAGAAAAGUUCUUGGGACUGCUGUGAUUCAGGUCUUAUAGAUCUGCAGGGACUUGAAGAAUAUACUGGCUAUGGUGGGUCAAACCACUGCUGUAUUGCCCUCAAACAUAAUUUAAAGGGAUUGUUUGGGUUUUUUGAAGUGGGGUUGUAUGAAGUACUUAUCCAUCGUCAGUGUUACCUACAGUAGAGCACGCCCCCAGUUUGGAGAAGCAGCCAGGGAGUUAGCAAAGCAACCAAAGCAAUGUACUGCUGUGUACGGGGUCGGCAGUAAAACUUAUUUUAGCCACCUAAAAGAAAGGCCCACCUAAAAACAUCAAUAUCAGCUUAAUUGUAUGUGUUAAUAUUUUCGCAGGUUUACCUUGCCGUCAGACAGCUAUACAGUCUUUUAUACUGUAUGUUUCCGAUGACAAAAUAAAAAUAAAUUCGUUUUUUCAACGGAGUCUGGUAGCUUUGAUGGAUAUACAAUGGCUUCAGUU
This is a long non-coding RNA of Sebastes umbrosus (honeycomb rockfish), 1354 nucleotides long. RefSeq lists it as uncharacterized. Lineage: Eukaryota; Metazoa; Chordata; Actinopteri; Perciformes; Sebastidae. The record is from RefSeq and is a predicted model, not a curated record. The transcript has 3 exons.